This 28-nucleotide small RNA is filed under the name Bombyx mori (domestic silkworm). Its description in RNAcentral is "ovarian small RNA-22317". Lineage: Eukaryota; Metazoa; Arthropoda; Insecta; Lepidoptera; Bombycidae. The record is from RNAcentral.
UAGCAUUUAAAUACCUAUCAGUGCCAGC